UUCGAAUUCUUGAAGACGACCCUUCAAAACCCUAUUUGAAUUUAAUCACAAAGAUGAUCAUACCCAUCCUGAAGUUUAUCCUCUAAAGACUCGUAACUUGUUGAAAUCAAACUAUUUGCAUGCGCAGUAUUAAAUACCUCAAUGUUUAUUCCCACCAUCUUUCUCUUGCAAGUUUGGGCAAUAACUUAACAAGUAACACUAAUCUCAUAGCAUUCAUUCGUUUGUCUGAUCUCUGAUAACGGAGAGACAAUUGGUAAUUUAUGUUGGAUAUUGGUUAUAUAAUAUGUUUUUAUAUGUUUAGUAUUAAAUAUAUCAAGGUAUUAAAGUGUAAAUGUUAUGCCUAUAUAAGCCUUUGUAUUCUUCUAUCAAAGAAAUGA
This 377-nucleotide long non-coding RNA is filed under the name Helianthus annuus (common sunflower). RNAcentral's name for it is "sRNA HanXRQr2_Chr15g0677931". The record is from RNAcentral. Lineage: Eukaryota; Viridiplantae; Streptophyta; Magnoliopsida; Asterales; Asteraceae.